RNAcentral lists this ribosomal RNA (314 nucleotides) under uncultured eukaryote. Its description in RNAcentral is "partial 18S ribosomal RNA". It matches the Rfam family "Eukaryotic small subunit ribosomal RNA", at positions 1470 to 1796 of the family's 1831-position model. The record is from RNAcentral.
CCCUUAGAUGUUCUGGGCUGCACGCGCGCUACACUGAUGCAUCCAACGAGUUUUUGACCUGAGCCGAUAGGCCUAGGUAAUCUUGUGAGUAUGCAUCGUGAUGGGGAUAGAUUAUUGCAAUUAUUAAUCUUCAACGAGGAAUGCCUAGUAGGCGCGAGUCAACAGCUCGUGCCGAUUACGUCCCUGCCCUUUGUACACACCGCCCGUCGCUCCUACCGAUGAGUCGUCCGGUGAAGUUCGUAGACCUCGUGAUCGCGGAUCACUGGGGGAAGCAAAAUGAACCUCGCGGUUUAGAGGAAGGAGAAGUCGUAACA